UACGGGGGGGGCAAGCGUUGUUCGGAAUUACUGGGCGUAAAGGGCUCGUAGGCGGCCAACUAAGUCAGACGUGAAAUCCCUCGGCUCAACCGGGGAACUGCGUCUGAUACUGGAUGGCUUGAAUCCGGGAGAGGGAUGCGGAAUUCCAGGUGUAGCGGUGAAAUGCGUAGAUAUCUGGAGGAACACCGGUGGCGAAGGCGGCAUCCUGGACCGGUAUUGACGCUGAGGCGCGAAAGCCAGGGGAGCAAACGGG
Molecule: ribosomal RNA, 253 nt
Filed under: uncultured bacterium
Lineage: Bacteria
Description: partial 16S ribosomal RNA
Rfam family: Bacterial small subunit ribosomal RNA
Source: RNAcentral